GACGUAGGGAGCCAGCGUUGCUCGGAAUUACUGGGCGUAAAGGGUUCGUAGGCGGUGUGGUAAGUCGGAAGUGAAAUCUCUGGGCUUAACUCAGAGGCUGCUUUCGAAACUGCCGCGCUAGAGUGCGGGAGAGGCGAGUGGAAUUACAGGUGUAGCGGUGAAAUGCGUAGAUAUCUGUAGGAACACCCGUGGCGAAGGCGGCUCGCUGGACCGCAACUGACGCUGAGGAACGAAAGCUAGGGGAGCAAACAGG
This 253-nucleotide ribosomal RNA is filed under the name uncultured bacterium. RNAcentral's name for it is "partial 16S ribosomal RNA". It matches the Rfam family "Bacterial small subunit ribosomal RNA", at positions 524 to 776 of the family's 1533-position model. The record is from RNAcentral.